AUGGGUAGUUCAGAACCCGGUUUCGAAGAUUUUCUUCAAGACAAGAAGCGCAGGAACCCGUUUGUCCCAGUUGGUGCAUUUAUUACUGCCGGUGUACUAACGGCUGGCUUAAUCAGCUUUAGACAAGGUAAUUCUCAGUUAGGCCAGAAGCUAAUGAGGGCACGUGUGGUUGUCCAAGCUGCUACAGUGGCACUCAUGGUUGGCACUGCCUAUUAUUAUGAAGACAAUCCUUGGCAAAAGAAAUAG
Non-coding RNA from Vicia faba (fava bean), 246 nucleotides. The record is from the annotation of a GenBank genome assembly. NCBI's taxonomy places the organism in Eukaryota, Viridiplantae, Streptophyta, Magnoliopsida, Fabales, Fabaceae.